GGUGCCAGUGUAGUAACACCAGCAAACAAGACCUCCCACCUUCCCAGUAGUUUCAGUACAAGUACCUAGGGACUAACUCCUUAGUCUAGAUUGGAUUAUGGGCUUAUUCUGCCAAAAAAAAAUGAGUGGUUUUAACUGGCUACAUCUGGGCAUGUGCCUGCCCCAGGAGCCAGUGUUGGGAUUAUCACAUUGAAACCAUGUGUACUGAACUGAAAGCGGAGAAUGGAUGGUUCUUUCAGAGAAAACAUAAGUUCUAUGACUUUAUGCUAGAUAGGCAAAAACAACAGCUGUCACCAUACAUCCCUGUGUCAUAUACUUGUACAUAUGCUUGUAUAUGCCCUCUAUGCAUGCUUACUUAUCACAAAAUAUUUCUGGAGGCCCCUACCUGGAGAGUAGGAGCUAAGCUUGCCUCUCAGAGUCAGCACUGUGGCCCUUUAAUACAAUACAGUGGUGGAUCUCCCAUCUUAAGUACAUUCAUUUGUUCUGGUCGUUGCUAUCAUUUGUUAUAGCGGUCUCUCAGUCCAGAUGACUUCUCUUUUGGAACUAGAUAUCCUUGUUCCAGCCUAGCCAUCUCACGUAUCCUAGCUCCAAGUACC
RNAcentral lists this long non-coding RNA (596 nucleotides) under Marmota monax (woodchuck). Lineage: Eukaryota; Metazoa; Chordata; Mammalia; Rodentia; Sciuridae. The record is from RNAcentral.